RNAcentral lists this non-coding RNA (235 nucleotides) under Tetragenococcus halophilus. RNAcentral describes it as "T-box sequence". It matches the Rfam family "T-box leader". Rfam says of the family: Uncharged tRNA acts as the effector for transcription antitermination of genes in the T-box leader family. Lineage: Bacteria; Bacillati; Bacillota; Bacilli; Lactobacillales; Enterococcaceae. The record is from RNAcentral.
UAAUAUCUGUAGAGCAGGGAAGUAAAUUUGGAUUCUUUAAAGAGAGACUCUGGUUGGUGAGAAGAGUUAAGUAUGAAAAAUUGAAAAUGGCCUGGGAGGAUAGUAUGUCGAUAAGUAGGCAUACUCGGAGGUUCAACCGUUAAAAAGAACACCGAUCUUUCAAACAUGAAAUGUCGGACUAAGGGAAGGUUUAACUUCUGAACAAAAGGUGGUAACACGAAUAUUCGUCCUUUUA